RNAcentral lists this ribosomal RNA (415 nucleotides) under uncultured bacterium. Its description in RNAcentral is "bacterial SSU rRNA". It matches the Rfam family "Bacterial small subunit ribosomal RNA", at positions 28 to 480 of the family's 1533-position model. The record is from RNAcentral.
GAUGAACGCUGGCGGUAUGCCUAACACAUGCAAGUCGUACGAGAGUUUUUAACUCUAGUGGCGGACGGGUGAGUAACACGUGAGAAUUUGCCUUUAGGAGGGGGAUAACAAUUGGAAACGAAUGCUAAUACCCCAUAUGCUUUCGAGUGAAAUGGAUUUUAUCCGCCUAGAGAGAAGCUCGCGGCUGAUUAGCUUGUUGGUAAGGUAAGAGCUUACCAAGGCGACGAUCAGUAUCUGGUUUGAGAGGACGAUCAGACACACUGGAACUGAGACACGGUCCAGACUCCUACGGGAGGCAGCAGUGGGGAAUUUCCGCAAUGGGCGAAAGCCUGACGGAGCAAUACCGCGUGAGGGAAGAAUGCCUAUGGGUUGUAACCUACUUUUUCUAGGGAGGAAGUAAAAUAGACGUGUACCU